GCCGAGGACAAGCUUCUUUGCGAGUGUUGGCGAGACCUUGGACAAGACCCCAAGAUGGGCGCCGAGCAAAAGCAUUCAACCUUUUGGAUUCGUGUCCACCAAGCGUUUCAUGAGCGCAAGAAGUUUCCGCCUUACCAAUUUGUGAGCACGCAUGGGUGGAUCUCCAUUUCCAAGCAGUGGAGGGUGAUCCAACAAGAGUGCAGCAAGUUUUGCGCCACUCUUGAGAGUGUCAAGGCCCGCCCUGUGAGCGGCAUUGGCAUGCAAGACAUGGUAUGCUAG
RNAcentral lists this ribosomal RNA (279 nucleotides) under Triticum aestivum (bread wheat). Its description in RNAcentral is "partial small subunit ribosomal RNA". Lineage: Eukaryota; Viridiplantae; Streptophyta; Magnoliopsida; Poales; Poaceae. The record is from RNAcentral.